AGAGUUUGAUCCUGGCUCAGGACGAACGCUGGCGGCGUGCUUAACACAUGCAAGUCGAACGGAAAGGCCCUUCGGGGUACUCGAGUGGCGAACGGGUGAGUAACACGUGGGUGAUCUGCCCUGCACUUUGGGAUAAGCCUGGGAAACUGGGUCUAAUACCGAAUAUGACCAUGCACUUCCUGGUGUGUGGUGGAAAGCUUUUGCGGUGUGGGAUGGGCCCGCGGCCUAUCAGCUUGUUGGUGGGGUAAUGGCCUACCAAGGCGACGACGGGUAGCCGGCCUGAGAGGGUGACCGGCCACACUGGGACUGAGAUACGGCUCAGACUCCUACGGGAGGCAGCAGUGGGGAAUAUUGCACAAUGGGCGCAAGCCUGAUGCAGCGACGCCGCGUGAGGGAUGACGGCCUUCGGGUUGUAAACCUCUUUCAGCACAGACGAAGCGCAAGUGACGGUAUGUGCAGAAGAAGGACCGGCCAACUACGUGCCAGCAGCCGCGGUAAUACGUAGGGUCCGAGCGUUGUCCGGAAUUACUGGGCGUAAAGAGCUCGUAGGUGGUUUGUCGCGUUGUUCGUGAAAACUCACAGCUUAACUGUGGGCGUGCGGGCGAUGCGGGCAGACUUGAGUACUGCAGGGGAGACUGGAAUUCCUGGUGUAGCGGUGGAAUGCGCAGAUAUCAGGAGGAACACCGGUGGCGAAGGCGGGUCUCUGGGCAGCAACUGACGCUGAGGAGCGAAAGCGUGGGGAGCGAACAGGAUUAGAUACCCUGGUAGUCC
This 771-nucleotide ribosomal RNA is filed under the name uncultured bacterium. RNAcentral describes it as "bacterial SSU rRNA". It matches the Rfam family "Bacterial small subunit ribosomal RNA", at positions 8 to 796 of the family's 1533-position model. The record is from RNAcentral.